AGCAGGUAAUGUUUUGAGUGUGCUCUGGUACCAGGUGUUAUGUUAAGUGCUUUUUCUGAAUAUGCCAUUUAUUCCUCACAACUAGGAGGAAUACACUUGAAGAUGGAACCAAGUAUAACCCCACCCCCGUGUUAUGGCUGGAGGGCUGCAGCCCACAGAGGACGUGGCAGAGAGGGCUUCCCUGGACCUCUCUGCACUCUCAGCCCCCUGGACCUUCCUGCUGAGGUGGACUCUGUUGGAGAAGAACAUGGAUCUGAUAAUCUCAUUCCUGCCAAGAUCACAGACGGUCUUCCAAGCUGAGGCCAUGUGAGGACACAAACAGAAGGUAGCCAUCUGCAAGCCAGGAAGAGGGCCCUUACCAAAACCCGACCGUGCUGGCACCCUGCUCUCAGACUUCUAGCCUCCAGAGCUGUGAGGAAGAAAUGUCUGUUGUUUAAACCACUCACUCCAUGGUAUUUUGUUAUGUCAGCCCAAGCUGACUAAGGCAUUGAUCAAAUGAGGAAAGCAGAUGCAAAG
This is a long non-coding RNA of Lagenorhynchus albirostris (white-beaked dolphin), 516 nucleotides long. RefSeq lists it as uncharacterized. The record is from RefSeq and is a predicted model, not a curated record. Lineage: Eukaryota; Metazoa; Chordata; Mammalia; Artiodactyla; Delphinidae. The transcript has 3 exons.